AUGAUACUAGUAAAAAUUAUUACGAUGCCUUGUCAAGGCAAAAUUGCAGGUUAGAGUCCUGCGUAUCUUG
This 70-nucleotide transfer RNA is filed under the name Moenkhausia costae. Its description in RNAcentral is "tRNA-Asp". It matches the Rfam family "tRNA". Rfam says of the family: Transfer RNA (tRNA) molecules are approximately 80 nucleotides in length. Their secondary structure includes four short double-helical elements and three loops (D, anti-codon, and T loops). The record is from RNAcentral. Lineage: Eukaryota; Metazoa; Chordata; Actinopteri; Characiformes; Acestrorhamphidae.